Non-coding RNA from Cajanus cajan (pigeon pea), 107 nucleotides. NCBI's taxonomy places the organism in Eukaryota, Viridiplantae, Streptophyta, Magnoliopsida, Fabales, Fabaceae. The record is from Rfam.
AAAUCAUGUUGUGAGCAUGCUUCAAGAUAUCCUUUGUAACAUUCCCAAACUCCAUUAAUAGUUUCACCACUUCCUUGUUGGAAGUUGGUGAUCUUUUUCCUUAACUU